This 520-nucleotide ribosomal RNA is filed under the name uncultured bacterium. RNAcentral's name for it is "bacterial SSU rRNA". It matches the Rfam family "Bacterial small subunit ribosomal RNA", at positions 120 to 674 of the family's 1533-position model. The record is from RNAcentral.
GGGAAUCUACCGUGCCCUGCGGAAUAGCUCCGGGAAACUGGAAUUAAUACCGCAUACGCCCUACGGGGGAAAGAUUUAUCGGGGUAUGAUGAGCCCGCGUUGGAUUAGCUAGUUGGUGGGGUAAAGGCCUACCAAGGCGACGAUCCAUAGCUGGUCUGAGAGGAUGAUCAGCCACAUUGGGACUGAGGCACGGCCCAAACUCCUACGGGAGGCAGCAGUGGGGAAUAUUGGACAAUGGGCGCAAGCCUGAUCCAGCCAUGCCGCGUGAGUGAUGAAGGCCUUAGGGUUGUAAAGCUCUUUCACCGGUGAAGAUAAUGACGGUAACCGGAGAAGAAGCCCCGGCUAACUUCGUGCCAGCAGCCGCGGUAAUACGAAGGGGGCUAGCGUUGUUCGGAAUUACUGGGCGUAAAGCGCACGUAGGCGGAUAUUUAAGUCAGGGGUGAAAUCCCAGAGCUCAACUCUGGAACUGCCUUUGAUACUGGGUAUCUUGAGUAUGGAAGAGGUAAGUGGAAUUGCGAGU